Molecule: small nuclear RNA, 104 nt
Organism: Sarcophilus harrisii (Tasmanian devil)
Lineage: Eukaryota; Metazoa; Chordata; Mammalia; Dasyuromorphia; Dasyuridae
Source: Ensembl
AAUUCUUGAGAUAAGUGUUUACUAAAAUUGGAAUAAUACAGUGAAGACUAGCAUGAUCCUUUUGGAAGGAUAACAUGCUAAUUUGUGAAGCAUUCCAUAUUUUU